Molecule: long non-coding RNA, 297 nt
Filed under: Olea europaea (common olive)
Lineage: Eukaryota; Viridiplantae; Streptophyta; Magnoliopsida; Lamiales; Oleaceae
Description: long non-coding RNA (OEUR_LNC001150)
Source: RNAcentral
UUUAUUGCUUGUGCAGGGCCUCCAUGCUAGUGACAAGACUUGACCUUUAUGCUUAUGACAGACAUUCCAUCAAUCAUUCGAAUAAGAUCCGUGCAGGCGAUCUCUUGGGAGAAGUGACCAUGGAGGAUGCUUGUGGUUGAGGCUCGCGCAUCAACUUCGGGGCUUCGUCCAUUUGAGGACCUCAGCUACAACCAAAGGCUUCCAAGCCUCGGGCCAUGGGCCUCGGUUAGAAGCAGCUCGGAUAUAACCCACCUCGGCAAUAUGGGCCACCUCGGCAGGAAUGCCACGUGGAUCAGG